CGGUGGCCAUAGCUGAGUGACAAUACCCGUUCCCAUCCCGAACACGGAAGUCAAGCGCUCACACGCCGAUGGUACUGCAUUGAUUUGCGGGAGAGUAGGUAGCCGCCGGGC
This 111-nucleotide ribosomal RNA is filed under the name Spirochaetales bacterium. The record is from RNAcentral. Lineage: Bacteria; Pseudomonadati; Spirochaetota; Spirochaetia; Spirochaetales.